GUCAACGCCGCGUCCCUGAGGCGGGGUCCUGUCCCCGCCCCGCGGGGCGCGGGGAGUCCCUCCGCUGAGGCAGGGCUUCACUCCCCAAAUUUUCUACCUAACCCCCCCCCAGCAGCACAGGGGGAUGUGGAAUGGAGGUUCUGUUCAGAAGCCGCUGCUGCUAACAGAGAUGGCAUGGCCAGAGUACUAUACAGAUGAGGAGACACCUGGGACUUGCUGCACAAUGAAGAAUUGGUUUAUUGGAAAUCUCAACUGGCUACAAGUGUUGAAACAGCUCAGGUCAAGUGGUGAUAAAUAAUUUCAAGAAACCACUGUGAGACUGAACAGGUUCAUUUGACACCAGAGUCUGCAUUUUCUUCUGCCAGAGGAUGGAGGGACCGGGCUUCCAGUACCGUGGUGUGUGGCUGUAAAAGGCUGAAUUCCACCAGUUAAAUGGUCCCAUGGGAAGGCACUACUCUUCUGUUACCAGCCCUCCGGAGGUGAAGUUGUCUUUAGAGUUGAGCAAGAAAGUUGCUUUAGCACUGUCAGAUAUCUAAUUAAUGCCUCAGUAAAUAAAGGCAUUCUGUAAUUAAA
Molecule: long non-coding RNA, 573 nt
Organism: Aquila chrysaetos chrysaetos
Lineage: Eukaryota; Metazoa; Chordata; Aves; Accipitriformes; Accipitridae
Exons: 6
Source: RefSeq, a predicted model, not a curated record